This 316-nucleotide unclassified non-coding RNA is filed under the name uncultured fungus. Its description in RNAcentral is "partial contains 5.8S ribosomal RNA and internal transcribed spacer 2". The stretch from base 1 to 133 matches the Rfam family "5.8S ribosomal RNA", at positions 22 to 154 of the family's 154-position model. The record is from RNAcentral. Lineage: Eukaryota; Fungi.
UGGUUCUCGCAUCGAUGAAGAACGCAGCGAAACGCGAUAGGUAAUGUGAAUUGCAGAAUUCCGUGAAUCAUCGAAUCUUUGAACGCACAUUGCGCCUUCUGGUAUUCCGGUAGGCAUGCCUGUCUGAGCGUCAGCAAAACCCUCAGCAACUAGUUUGCUGGUCCUGGGCUGGAGGGGAUUUCCCCCCCUGCCUUAAACCUGCUGUAGCCUCAAACUUUGCGGUUAAUGGAGUGGUUAUACACAUUUCUUGCGACCAAAUAGUGGAGGGCGUUAAACUCUUGAGUUUGACCUCAGAUCAGACAAGGAUACCCGCUGA